Molecule: ribosomal RNA, 593 nt
Filed under: uncultured bacterium
Lineage: Bacteria
Description: bacterial SSU rRNA
Rfam family: Bacterial small subunit ribosomal RNA
Source: RNAcentral
AACGCAGAAAUGAGAUUAGCUUGCUAAAGGAUUUUCAUGUUUGUCUUAGUGGCGGACGGGUGAGUAACGCGUGAGGAACCUGCCUCUCAGAGGGGGAUAACGUUUGGAAACGAACGCUAAUACCGCAUACCUUGCCGGAACGGCAUCGUUCUGGCAAGAAAGGAGCAAUCCGCUGAGAGAUGGCCUCGCGUCCGAUUAGCCAGUUGGCGGGGUAACGGCCCACCAAAGCGACGAUCGGUAGCCGGACUGAGAGGUUGAACGGCCACAUUGGGACUGAGACACGGCCCAGACUCCUACGGGAGGCAGCAGUGGGGGAUAUUGGUCAAUGGGGGAAACCCUGAACCAGCAACGCCGCGUGAGGGAAGAAGGUUUUCGGAUUGUAAACCUCUGUUUUUGGUGACGAAACAAAUGACGGUAGCCAAGGAGAAAGCCACGGCUAACUACGUGCCAGCAGCCGCGGUAAUACGUAGGUGGCAAGCGUUGUCCGGAAUUACUGGGUGUAAAGGGAGCGCAGGCGGGAAGGCAAGUCAGACGUGAAAACUAUGGGCUCAACCCAUAACGUGCGUUUGAAACUGUUUUUCUUGAGUGAAGUA